AUGUACUUUUUUCCAGUUGUCCCAUUUAGGAACUGUAAAUAUGAACCAGAGUGUGUCUAUUAUCACAUGACCUUUACCAAGCAGGAAACUGAGGAAAGAUUGGCAGCAACCAGCCGCCCCAGCUGCAACUGGUGCCCGAACAGGGACCGGGGCCAGUCCAACGUGACCGCUGCCUCACCCCCGUGGGACCUCGCUCCCACCCCUUCGCCGUGCUCUCAAGGUAAGGACCCCCGUUAUCGGCCCCCGGCAGAAAAAUGGGCGGGCGUCUAUCUUCCCGCCAAGCGCCGCAAGUCAGAGCACUUGCUGGCCUACUAGCCUGCCACCAAUGUAAAGUUUCGGGCAGGCAACUCCAGGCUUACUGGGAUCUACUGGUCCCCUUCAACCCCUAGCUUUCCACUGCCAAUCUCUCGGACCCUGAUACCU
RNAcentral lists this long non-coding RNA (423 nucleotides) under Dasypus novemcinctus (nine-banded armadillo). Its description in RNAcentral is "lncRNA (ENSDNOG00000051201.1)". Lineage: Eukaryota; Metazoa; Chordata; Mammalia; Cingulata; Dasypodidae. The record is from RNAcentral.